GAUGAACGCUGGCGGCGUGCUUAACACAUGCAAGUCGAACGGAAAGGCUCCUGCUUGCAGGGGUACUCGAGUGUCGAACGGGUGAGUAACACGUGGGUGAUCUGCCCUGCACUUCGGGAUAAGCCUGGGAAACUGGGUCUAAUACCGGAUAGGACGAUGGUUUGGAUGCCAUUGUGGAAAGUUUUUUCGGUGUGGGAUGAGCUCGCGGCCUAUCAGCUUGUUGGUGGGGUAAUGGCCUACCAAGGCGUCGACGGGUAGCCGGCCUGAGAGGGUGUGCGGCCACAUUGGGACUGAGAUAAGGCGCAGACGACUACGGGAGGCAGCAGUGGGGAAUAUUGCACAAUGAGCGCAAGAAUGAUGAAGCGACGACGCGGGGGGGAUGAAGGCCGUCGGGUUGUAAACACCUUUCGCUAGGGACGAAGAGCAAGUGACGGUACCUGGAGAAGAAGCACCGGCUAACUACGUG
RNAcentral lists this ribosomal RNA (466 nucleotides) under uncultured bacterium. Its description in RNAcentral is "partial 16S ribosomal RNA". It matches the Rfam family "Bacterial small subunit ribosomal RNA", at positions 28 to 507 of the family's 1533-position model. The record is from RNAcentral.